RNAcentral lists this long non-coding RNA (2619 nucleotides) under Cottoperca gobio. RNAcentral describes it as "lncRNA (ENSCGOG00000015814.1)". The record is from RNAcentral. Lineage: Eukaryota; Metazoa; Chordata; Actinopteri; Perciformes; Bovichtidae.
CUGUGGAUGGGUGUUGCAAAUGUAUGAGAAUGUAAGGUGAAUACUUACCAGGGGGGGAUCCUGGGCACCAAGCAGAGUACUUAAGUUAUGUACUAUGUGUUAGCAUUUAGAGUCUACAAUUGGAGAUGUGUGCACCAAGAUUCAAAAAUGAGUUUAGCUGUGUUUGAGGUCCAAGUGAUGUUAUCAGUUUCAGUAAAAAAUGUGUCUGCUGGAAUUAAUGGAAGGAUGUUGUGGUGUUCGGACAAUGUGUUGUUUAUGACUGUAAGGUUAUGUUGUUGUGUUUGAGUGAGGUGCGGUGAAGAUUGAAGCAGAGGGAAGUGUGUGGAGGCAUGGGGGAAGGCAAUGGCAGCAUGUCUGAAGAGUGACUUGAGCUGUUUUGUAGUCGUCUGCUUGGGGUCCUGAUCCCGAUUGUUGAUCCCGAUGGAGAAAACAACAAUCUUGACAGUCAAAUUGGGCUUAAAUUUCUUUAUUAUUUCAAGCAGAUGGUAUACUUUAGCCCCUGGGUAGCCGUCAAGCUGGAUAUGAGGGUUGUUGUGAGGGGGGAUUCUAGAGAUGUUGGAAUCCCCCAGUAUCAGGACUGGCUUGUCGGCUUUGAUGGUCCAGUCCUGUACUCUCCGGUGUGGUCUGGCGACGUGGCAGGUGGGCGUGAAUGGGGAUGGAAGGGAAGGAGUGAAUGGUGCCUGAAAAAAAGGAUGGUUAGGAAGGGGGGGAGGGGGAGGAGGGGGAGAAGGAAAGAGAAGAGGAGAGGGAGGGAGAAGGGGGGUAGGUGGGUAGGGAGUCCUGGGGAGGCUCGAGUCCAGAGCUGCAGGUGUGCUGGUCUCCAGAGGGGGGCCCGCCAAGCAGCACGGCCCCGUCGGACUGGACACAGGAGGGUUCAGUGAGGUUUGCGGUGCAGGCUGUUUGACCUUCCGGAUCCUUGUCAUCAUAUACCCUCCUGUGGUUGCGUGGUAUGCAGUCCGACGGAGUAUGCCGACCCGCAGAGCCCGAACAGGAACCAGCAACACCUGCAGGGGAAAGGCAGAGGGGGGGAGAAAAAAAAUUAAAGAAAGUGGUAGGGGGUGUGUGGACUCGAGCCUCCAACCACCUGUGUCGUGUACCACCCGGUGACUUGAAAGAAUUGCGUGUGGUGAGGGUGUCGUCUGCCCAUUUAAGACGAGUGGCGGGGGAGAUGAUGUGGCUAGGUUCAGUGCUCAGGGUUGCUGUGAAUUCAGAGGAGAGGUAAGAGGAGGGAUAGUGGGGGGUGUGGUAGCCGGAGUGGUCAGGGUCUGGGGAAAUGCCAGGAGGGGAGUGAUGGUUGGGGUCAGGAGAGGGGUAGUGGUGAAGGUCAGGGGUAAGAUGAGGGGCAGGGCUAGGAGGGGGGUGGUUGGAGUCAGGAGAGGGGCAGUGGUGAAGGUCAGGGGUAAGGUUGGGGUCAGGGUCAGGGGCUGGGGAAGGGAUAGGAGUGACCGGUGUGCAGGUAGGGGGUGUGCUUCGGGGACCUAGAAAAAGGGAAAGUCUGGUGGGGGAUUGUGCGCUGGGGAGGUGAGGGAACUCUUCCUCCGAGAUGGGAGGAAGGGGGGUGUACCACUGACCAAUAGUGCGGGGGGGUGGGAUGGGAGGGCGGGUGGUGGGGGGUGCAGUCAUGUUGAGUGUGUCAUGUACAAUGUGUGAAGUGUCUGCGGUCAGCCUGGGGCCAUAUCUCUUCCUGGCCCAACCCAUGGCAAUUUGAAGUGCCAUGGGGUUACGGGGUGUAUGUAUGAGUGUGUUAAUGGUGUUCUGGUAAUGUUGUUGCAAGAUGGUCAUGUUUGUGUGCAUCCAGUUUAUUGUGUUUGUAUGUACCUGUGUGCGUGUAUGUUCUGUGGGUGUAGAGGGCUUGAUGAAGUCUGUAAGUCGGGUGACUUGCUUCAUCAUGCCCGGUGGAAAUGUUUGUGUUGUGAGAGCCCUAUCCGUGACCUGUUUGUGGUGGAUUGCUUGAAUUAGCUUAAAAUACUGCUUACUAAUGUGUCUGGUUUGUGAGUCUGGUGGAUGGGUGAGUGUGGGGUAUACUUGUGUGUCUGAACCUGUAAAUCUAUGUGUGGUGUUUCUACGUGUUCUGGUGUUGGGUAUGUGUGUGCGUGGUUGUGUGGUGUUUGUGUUGUGUGUGGUGUUGUGUGUGGUGUUUCUGUGUGUGCGCCGUGCAUACUCACCACCUCCACUCGAAUGCACAGCCUGGCCCCUGUUAAAAGACAUUUUAAUCUUGGAUUUACUGGGCUCUUACCUAAUCCGGCGCUGUGUUGGGGCAGAUGGUUGGUGUCCCUCAGGUGGUAGGACAACGCCGGAAUGUUCGUAGUUUGCUCCGGGUUGUCCUAUGGAGUACUCAAGCAGAGCUGGUAUCUUGAUGUUUAAAAGUUCUUUUUUUGCUUGGUUUCCAGCAGCAGCCGGAGGGCAGAGCCCACACCAACAAUUAAAAUAUAUCUUUAUUGUUAAAAAUUUAGAAAAUGGUUAAUAAAAACCAAUAAAAGUGCAAAAACACAGGUAUAAAAACAUUGGGCCUAAAAACACUGAAUCUAAAAACACUAGGCUUAAAACACAGGGCUAAAAACACAAGGCUUAAGACAAGGGUUAAAAGACUAGGCUUAAAAAGACAGCGCUAAAAGACAC